Molecule: long non-coding RNA, 923 nt
Filed under: Homo sapiens (human)
Lineage: Eukaryota; Metazoa; Chordata; Mammalia; Primates; Hominidae
Description: HSALNT0340375
Source: RNAcentral
GUGGAACCCAGCGACUAGUGUUCAGCUUGAUUAGGACGAACCCAGGCACUUAGCUGUGCAGGAACAAUGGUGAGCCUUUAGCCCAAUCAGGAGCAGCAACGGAUGCCUCGCUGGAUCAGGAGCACAGCCCACACCCUGCCAGAUCUGGAGGGGUAGAAGUCAGCAGCGGGUCUGUGAUGGCGGCAUUCAGCAGUGGUGGAUGGAAUCUGUCAUCAUGAAAGUUAUAUUAUGUUAAAUAAUUGCCCUCUACUGAAUAUUUGCCCCAUAAGAGGAACAGGAAAAGGGUUAUAAUGAAUCACUGACAUCAGAAGAUCAUGUAUUUGACCUAGAUGCCUCUGAAUCAGCUCUGCAACUAGGACUUCAAGCUCAUUAGCACAGAGACGCCGAACUCUCCUGAGGUCCUUGUUAUCCAGUGGAUCUCCUCUCCUGCUCCAAAACAGCCUUUCCCAUUGUCAGUGAGCAGUGCCACCUUACCAGCUGUGCCCAGCCAUAAACCUGCCCUUCUGUAAUAGAAAUCAAGAGAGAAUGUCCAGGCAUCCAAAUGUCAAGGCCUCAUCCACAGCCACCAUGGCUGGCCCUUCUUCGCUACUGCAACAGUUGUCCCGAGAAUUCACUCUGAUACUAAUUGGAAGCCCUCAUUCCCAAGAAGCAGGUGUCUGACUACACUUCUUUCUCCAGAUCUGUUAAAAUAGCAUCUCAUUAAAAGCAACCUCCCUUGGGAGAUAAGGCCAAAGACCUCUGUCUUAUUUCACACUUAAAUUAUUUUUUCUCUUUGCUUAAUCCAAGUUCCAUUUUGUGAAGGGGCCUUUAAGCUCAAACGGUUACUUUUUUCAUGAUCUAGGACACUCAAAGCUGUAUUCUAAUAAUUAAAUUUAUGAUAUUUGAAAAUCCAAACUAUGCCUUAUUCAUUUUCUUAUUCUUUC